UACGAAGGGGGCAAGCGUUACUCGGAAUUACUGGGCGUAAAGCGUGCGUAGGUGGUUUGUUAAGUCUGUUGUGAAAGCCCCGGGCUCAACCUGGGAAUGGCAAUGGAUACUGGCAGGCUAGAGUGCGGUAGAGGGUAGUGGAAUUCCCGGUGUAGCGGUGAAAUGCGUAGAGAUCGGGAGGAACACCAGUGGCGAAGGCGGCUCCCUGGACCAGCACUGACACUGAGGCACGAAAGCGUGGGGAGCAAACAGG
RNAcentral lists this ribosomal RNA (253 nucleotides) under uncultured bacterium. RNAcentral's name for it is "partial 16S ribosomal RNA". It matches the Rfam family "Bacterial small subunit ribosomal RNA", at positions 524 to 776 of the family's 1533-position model. The record is from RNAcentral.